GGUUAUAGGGAGCUUCCCCCGCCCCCCGGCAUGGCCUGCCCUGCCCUGGCCUAGGCCCGGAGCCGGCUGCAGGCUCCUCCGGCCGCCCCCGGCUCCAGCUCGCGAUCCCCCGCCGCCAUCUUCACUUCAAGGCAAAGUCUCUUAAAGACAGAUGCAAGAAAAAUGUCAAGGACAAGUCCAGGACCCAGUUGGAAAAGUUUCCCAAUCGUUUUUGUCCCAAAACUAUUCUGAACUGUACUCACUGUGGUUAUGUAACAGGGAGACCAGAACUGAAUGCAAUAUUCCAAAAGUGGCC
Chiloscyllium plagiosum (whitespotted bambooshark) is the source of this 295-nucleotide non-coding RNA. Lineage: Eukaryota; Metazoa; Chordata; Chondrichthyes; Orectolobiformes; Hemiscylliidae. The record is from RefSeq and is a predicted model, not a curated record.